This 699-nucleotide ribosomal RNA is filed under the name Goniomonas pacifica. Its description in RNAcentral is "partial Bacterial large subunit ribosomal RNA". It matches the Rfam family "Bacterial large subunit ribosomal RNA", at positions 2004 to 2714 of the family's 2925-position model. Lineage: Eukaryota; Cryptophyceae; Goniomonadida; Goniomonadaceae. The record is from RNAcentral.
ACGACUUGGGCACUGUCUCGGCCAUGAGCUCGGUGAAAUUGUGGUAUCGGUGAUGACGCCGAUUACCCGCAGCGGGACGAAAAGACCCCGUGAACCUUUACUACAACUUUACAUUGGCUUUAGCUGUAUCAUGUGUAGGAUAGGCGGGAGACUUUGAAGCGGCGUCGCCAGGCGUUGUGGAGUCACCCUUGAAAUACCGCCCUUGCCACAGGUGAAGUCUAACCCUUCCGGGGGAACAGUGUAUGGUGGGUAGUUUGACUGGGGCGGUCGCCUCCUAAAGAGUAACGGAGGCUCCCAAAGGUACCCUCAGCACGGUUGGCAAUCGUGCGUAGAGUGUAAAAGCAUAAGGGUGCUUGACUGCGAGACAUACAGGUCGAGCAGGCACGAAAGUGGGGUUUAGUGAUCCGGUGGCACCGCAUGGAAGGGCCAUCGCUCAAAGGAUAAAAGGUACUCCGGGGAUAACAGGCUGAUACCCCCCAAGAGUCCACAUCGACGGGGGUGUUUGGCACCUCGAUGUCGGCUCAUCGCAACCUGGGGCUGAAGUCGGUCCCAAGGGUUGGGCUGUUCGCCCAUUAAAGCGGUACGCGAGCUGGGUUCAGAACGUCGUGAGACAGUUCGGUCCCUAUCUGCCGUGGGUGUACGAGACUUGAGAGGAUCUGUCCCUAGUACGAGAGGACCGGGAUGGACGAACCUCUGGUG